This 776-nucleotide ribosomal RNA is filed under the name uncultured Neocallimastigales. RNAcentral's name for it is "partial large subunit ribosomal RNA". It matches the Rfam family "Eukaryotic large subunit ribosomal RNA", at positions 24 to 649 of the family's 3401-position model. Lineage: Eukaryota; Fungi; Neocallimastigomycota; Neocallimastigomycetes; Neocallimastigales. The record is from RNAcentral.
GUAGUCUCGCACAGAUGCAUAUCAAUAAGCGGAGGAAAAGAAACUAACUAAGGAUUCCCCUAGUAACGGCGAGUGAAGCGGGAAGAGCUCAAAUUUGAAAUCUUAAAGGGUUUCCCUUUACGAAUUGUAGUUUAAAGAAGUGUUUUCUGUUGAGGUUUUGGUAAAAGUUCUUUGGAAUAGGACAUCAUAGAGGGUGAGAAUCCCGUAUUUGACCUUUACUUUCCAACUUUGUGAUACACCUUCAAAGAGUCGGAUUGUUUGGGAAUGCAGUCCAAAAUGGGUGGUAAAUUUCAUCUAAAGCUAAAUAUUGGCGAGAGACCGAUAGCGAACAAGUACCGUGAGGGAAAGAUGAAAAGAACUUUGAAAAGAGAGUUAAACAGUACGUGAAAUUGUCAAAAGGGAAGCGUUUGACACCAGUGUUGUUUUUCUGAAAAUCAAUUAAAGAACUGUUUAUGCUAAGCUGUUUAGACUUUAUCAGCUAUCUGUUUAGUUUUGAGCUUUUCUUUAAUGCACUUUUCAGUUAACAAGUCAACAUCAAUUUCUUUUGCUGUAAAAAAGCUUGAGGAAGGUGGCUUGAGAUUCGUCUUAAGUGUUUAUAGCCUCUUGCCUAUGCAGUCGGAGAGAUUGAGGUCUGCAGCGUAGAUCCUUCGGGGCUAAAUGCAUUUGUGCUAAGUUAUAGCAUUUUAUAGACAACUUGUUGACUAUGAUUUGUCUUGUAGCUUACUCGCUUAUGUUAUUUUACCUACGCUUAGGAUGUUGAGUAGCGACAUACGCAC